This 566-nucleotide ribosomal RNA is filed under the name uncultured bacterium. RNAcentral describes it as "bacterial SSU rRNA". It matches the Rfam family "Bacterial small subunit ribosomal RNA", at positions 239 to 803 of the family's 1533-position model. The record is from RNAcentral.
CAUUAGCUAGACGGCGGGGUAACGGCCCACCGUGGCGACGAUGCGUAGGGGUUCUGAGAGGAAGGUCCCCCACACUGGUACUGAGACACGGACCAGACUCCUACGGGAGGCAGCAGUGAGGAAUAUUGGUCAAUGGGAGAGAUCCUGAACCAGCCAAGCCGCGUGAGGGAAGACGGCCCUAUGGGUUGUAAACCUCUUUUGUCGGAGAACAAAACCCGGGACGAGUCCCGGACUGCGUGUAUCCGAAGAAAAAGCAUCGGCUAACUCCGUGCCAGCAGCCGCGGUAAUACGGAGGAUGCGAGCGUUAUCCGGAUUUAUUGGGUUUAAAGGGUGCGUAGGCGGUCUGUUAAGUCAGCGGUAAAAUUGCGGGGCUCAACCCCGUCGAGCCGUUGAAACUGGCAGACUUGAGUUGGCGAGAAGUACGCGGAAUGCGCGGUGUAGCGGUGAAAUGCAUAGAUAUCGCGCAGAACUCCGAUUGCGAAGGCAGCGUACCGGCGCCAGACUGACGCUGAGGCACGAAAGCGUGGGGAUCGAACAGGAUUAGAUACCCUGGUAGUCCACGCAGU